Molecule: ribosomal RNA, 890 nt
Filed under: uncultured bacterium
Lineage: Bacteria
Description: bacterial SSU rRNA
Rfam family: Bacterial small subunit ribosomal RNA
Source: RNAcentral
GCAAGUCGAGGGGCAGCACGGAAUAGCAAUAUUUUGGUGGCGACCGGCGCACGGGUGAGUAACACGUAUGCAACCUACCCAUGACAGUGGAAUAACCCGUCGAAAGGCGGACUAAUACCGCAUAAUAAAGAGUGCUCGCAUGGGUACUUUUUCAAAGAUUUAUCGGUCAUGGAUGGGCAUGCGUUCCAUUAGGUAGUUGGCGGGGCAACGGCCCACCAAGCCUGCGAUGGAUAGGGGUUCUGAGAGGAAGGUCCCCCACACUGGUACUGAGACACGGACCAGACUCCUACGGGAGGCAGCAGUGAGGAAUAUUGGUCAAUGGGCGAGAGCCUGAACCAGCCAAAUCGCGUGAAGGAUGAAGGUAUUAUGUAUUGUAAACUUCUUUUACAGGGGAAUAAAGUGCGGGACGUGUCCCGUUUUGUAUGUGCCCUGAGAAUAAGGAUCGGCUAACUCCGUGCCAGCAGCCGCGGUAAUACGGAGGAUCCAAGCGUUAUCCGGAUUUAUUGGGUUUAAAGGGUGCGUAGGCGGGGAAUCAAGUCAGCGGUGAAAGUUUGCGGCUCAACCGUAAAAUUGCCGUUGAAACUGGUUCUCUUGAGUGUAGAUGAGGUGGGUGGAAUUCGUGGUGUAGCGGUGAAAUGCUUAGAUAUCACGAAGAACUCCAAUUGCGUAGGCAGCUCACUGGGCUACAACUGACGCUGAGGCACGAAGGUGCGGGGAUCAAACAGGAUUAGAUACCCUGGUAGUCCGCACAGUAAACGAUGAAUACUAGCUGUUGGCGAUACACUGCCAGUGGCACAGCGAAAGCGUUAAGUAUUCCACCUGGGGAGUACGUCCGCAAGAAUGAAACUCAAAGGAAUUGACGGGGGGCCGGCACAAGCGGAAGAACAUGU